GAUGAACGCUAGCUACAGGCUUAACACAUGCAAGUCGAGGGGAAACGAUAGAGAAAGCUUGCUUUUUCUAGGCGUCGACCGGCGCACGGGUGAGUAACGCGUAUCCAACCUGCCCAUCACUUGGGGAUAACCUUGCGAAAGUAAGACUAAUACCCAAUGACGUCUCUGGAAGACAUCUGAAGGAGAUUAAAGAUUUAUCGGUGAUGGAUGGGGAUGCGUCUGAUUAGCUUGUUGGCGGGGUAACGGCCCACCAAGGCGACGAUACAUAGGGGGACUGAGAGGUUGAACGGCCACAUUGGGACUGAGAUACGGCCCAGACUCCUACGGGAGGCAGCAGUGGGGAAUAUUGGGCAAUGGGCGCAAGCCUGACCCAGCAACGCCGCGUGAAGGAAGAAGGCUUUCGGGUUGUAAACUUCUUUUAAGAGGGAAGAGCAGAAGACGGUACCUCUAGAAUAAGCCACGGCUAACUACGUG
RNAcentral lists this ribosomal RNA (474 nucleotides) under uncultured bacterium. Its description in RNAcentral is "bacterial SSU rRNA". It matches the Rfam family "Bacterial small subunit ribosomal RNA", at positions 28 to 507 of the family's 1533-position model. The record is from RNAcentral.